This 545-nucleotide ribosomal RNA is filed under the name Microsporum canis. Its description in RNAcentral is "eukaryotic LSU rRNA". It matches the Rfam family "Eukaryotic large subunit ribosomal RNA", at positions 74 to 628 of the family's 3401-position model. Lineage: Eukaryota; Fungi; Ascomycota; Eurotiomycetes; Onygenales; Arthrodermataceae. The record is from RNAcentral.
AUUGCCCCAGUAACGGCGAGUGAAGCGGCAAGAGCUCAAAUUUGAAAUCUGGCCUCCCUUGGGGGGUCCGAGUUGUAAUUUGUAGAGGAUGCUUCGGGUGUGGCCGCCGUCUAAGUUCCUUGGAACAGGACGUCGUAGAGGGUGAGAAUCCCGUCUUGGGCGGCCGGUCCGCGCCCGUGUGAAGCUCCUUCGACGAGUCGAGUUGUUUGGGAAUGCAGCUCUAAGCGGGUGGUAAAUUUCAUCUAAAGCUAAAUACUGGCCGGAGACCGAUAGCGCACAAGUAGAGUGAUCGAAAGGUUAAAAGCACCUUGAAAAGGGAGUUAAACAGCACGUGAAAUUGUUGAAAGGGAAGCGCUUGCGGCCAGACUCGAGGGGCGGGGUUCAGCGGGUGCGCGUCACCCGUGCACUCCCCGUCCCCCCGGGCCAGCAUCAGUUUCGACGGCCGGUCAAAGGCCCCCGGAAUGUGUCGUCUCUAGGGACGUCUUAUAGCCGGGGGUGCAAUGCGGCCCGCCGGGACUGAGGAACGCGCUCCGGCUCGGAUGCUG